UUUCCGUAGGUGAACCUGCGGAAGGAUCAUUACAGAGAAAUUGCCCUUUGGGGUAGUUCUCCCACCCUUUGUUUACAUUACCUUUGUUGCUUUGGCAGGACCGUCUUUUGACCGCUGGCUUAGGCUGGUCCUCGCCUGCCAGAGGACCCUAAACUCUUGAUUUUUGUGUCGUCUGAGUAACAUUAUAAUAAGUUAAAACUUUCAACAACGGAUCUCUUGGUUCUG
This 225-nucleotide unclassified non-coding RNA is filed under the name plant metagenome. RNAcentral's name for it is "partial contains small subunit ribosomal RNA, internal transcribed spacer 1, and 5.8S ribosomal RNA". The record is from RNAcentral.